AUGUGUAAGCGUAUAUGUAAAAAAAAAUAUUAACUGAAUUUUAUUUGCGGGGAGUUAAUAAAUCUAAUACUCGAGUACUUCUGAAAUAAAACUUUUUUACUCCUCUUGGGAAAAUAAUUAUAAUUUUGAUGAUCUGAUUUUUAGUUACUCCACAUAGACAAAAACCGAAUCCCUAACUGAACUCAAAACGAUAUCCUUACUGGCCAGAUGACUUCUUAAUUUUAGCAAACAACAAAUGAUUCUAAAUAAGCCAAUCUACAUAGAUCAUUAUAUCACGUUAAUGAAGAGGCACGGAAAUAUACGCAAUUCAGCUUCUUCUACUGAUAGUUACAGGGAGAAAAGCACGAGGCCUACGUGCGUGUCACCCUAAGUCAGCACUACCGGGCGGUGAAAGAAAAGCGAACCUGCGUCUCCAAACCGUCAAUUGACGGAAACCACAGCUUCGCGGAGGGAUUCAAUUUUAAAUUGAUCCCCUCGCAGGCGGACAUAACAAGCUUGGCGUUUCACGUUUUUCAACACACAUCGGGAUACGGUAGGGACAAAUUAGUUGGGAAAUGUGUGCUGGGUUCCUACAUGUUCGCAAGAGGAAAAGCGCUCACGCACUGGAAUACAGCUAUUGCCAACCCCAUGGAACCAUUGCAACAGUGGCAUACCUUAAAUGAAUAAGAAAAAACUCUUUACGGCGGUGCUUCAACUGUCAAGACUGAUCUGCAACUCACUUCAAAAUCCACGUAAUAGGUGUACAUCCGUCUGUAUCUACUUUACUGCAAAAUUGUACCGCCUCCAUUGAAGAGAUGUAGGUUUGCACCGGAAGCCGGAAGUGUACUUUAUAUACUGUACGUUCCCUUACAUGUGCUUAGUUUUAGCACAGACAGCAUAAGUAUGUAUAUGUCUGUGGUUUUAGUACCUCUAAAAGAUGCAGUGUCAUAACUCAUGUACUUCCCGUUUCCAAUGCGCGCGCACUACGUGAUACAUCAUACCCUAAACAGUCUUGCCUCGAAUGGGCUUUAGGGCUUAAGCCCACGCAUGAAAUGAGGAAUUUAAAUAACACAUAUUGUUAUUUUGGCGUCAUUAUGAACAUGCAUAAAAUAUUUGCCAUGAAAUCCACAGAAGAAACUAUUUUCACACUUCCCCAUGACACACAGUAUGUCAUAUUUGUCCAUACCUGUAUGUACCAUAUAAUUACAUAGUCAAUAGAUAAAAAUUGAUAUUAUUAUGUUUAUAAAUGUAUAUAGAAAUUUAUGUAAAUUUAAUGUAGAGGUCUCGGACUAUUUGUAACCAAAGUCAAAUGCGCCAAAACUACAAGAGGCUAUCUUGCCCUCCUUUUAAUAAAGUAGUUUUGUUAAUUUGACUCUGUAGGUCCGCUUAUCUACAUACCCUCGCUGUAAGAAGUGUAGUUCAAUAAAAUACCUUUUGACUGUA
Molecule: long non-coding RNA, 1422 nt
Organism: Photinus pyralis (common eastern firefly)
Lineage: Eukaryota; Metazoa; Arthropoda; Insecta; Coleoptera; Lampyridae
Exons: 3
Source: RefSeq, a predicted model, not a curated record